Long non-coding RNA from Arachis stenosperma, 4515 nucleotides. RefSeq lists it as uncharacterized. The record is from RefSeq and is a predicted model, not a curated record. The transcript is spliced from 4 exons. NCBI's taxonomy places the organism in Eukaryota, Viridiplantae, Streptophyta, Magnoliopsida, Fabales, Fabaceae.
UUUCUCAAGUCAAAGUGCAGCCACACCUCCACCCUGCUUCAUCUCCUUCGGCAUAACACACCCUCUGUCCCAAAUUCAGCGCCGCAAACCUCCUUACAGCCGCCACCCUUUCUCCUUCCCUUCAACAAGCUUGCAACACAACUGCGCAGCCCUAUACUAACACACACACAUGGUUCCCGAACCAAAGGAAAAGAGAGAAACAGAAGAGAGAAGGGAGGAAGGGGCUGUCUGCCGGCGCCACUGGGUCUCGCCAUCGCCGCCGAUGCCGCUGAGGUGAGGAGACCCCGAGGUGCUACACGUGAGGAGCCGUUCUGCCGCCGUGCCCUGCACCGUUGAGGCCGCCGCUACUGUUCGUGGGGUUGCCUCUGUCGCAGAUUGGAACUGAGGCAAGAGAGGAAGGGUCUGACGGGAGGGCACACGCGCGAGGAGGGAGGAAAGCUGCUUCUGUCACUGUCGCUGAAUCCAUUCUUUCCGCUGCCACUGGGAGCACGAACAGAGGAGAGUCACCCCUGUCGGAACCACGCCGCCACUGCCAGCUUCCACCUCCAUCGUGCUUGACUAUGGAUGAGAGUGGAGGAAACUGCCUCUCUCUCUGCCGUUGAAAUCCCCCGUCGCUGCUGCUUGUGUCUUGAACUGCUGCAUCAGCCACCGCCGCAGGUGUUGCUGUUGGAAAGGGGACAUGUGCCUCUGUGUUUCUGGUAGCCAGGAGUGGUUCUAUGACUUCCGGGACCACCGCUAAGGCUCCGGGCUAAGCCUCUACUGCCAGGAACGUCUCUGCUGCCACCGAGUCCCGCCGGCGCUGCUGUUAUUAGAUAUUCAGACCGCCGUUGUCGCCCAAAAGUUAUUGAUGGAGCUGCUGCUGGGCCGAUUUGAUGUUGCGGCUGCUUCAUUUUGUUAUUUCAGAGUUAGAAUCUGGUUUGAUUAUGCCGCUUGUAGCUGUUUCUGCUUUCGAGAGAACAAACCGAGUCGGGUUUUGAUUGCCGGUGAUUUCGGGCGGAGCGAAAAGAGUUUAGUUGACACGUUUGGGUUGUGAUUUUGGCGUUUUGAGAAGCAUAAGAUGGUUAUUAAUCACUGGUACGGUUUAUCUUCAUGUAUUCUAUUACAGUAAUUCCCAAAAAACCCUCUACUGAGAACCCUUUCGAGGAUGAUGUUCUCACCCCUUACAUUUUUUCCCUUUCAGGAUAUGGGCGCAGAAGUUACGAAGAGUUUAUUUAGUUAUUGUUGUGAUGUUCUGUAUUGCUUUGGAUUAUUAAUUAUUGUACCCUCGCCUCUAUAUUGAUAUAUUCUAUAAGAGGGAUAGGAAUUGUAUUGGUUAAUGUCUGUAAUAUUAUUUAUAUAUAUGUAUGUAUAUAUAUGGAUGUACUCUUUAUGAGUUUUCAUAAGUUGUAUGGUUUCUUUGGAUGUACGUUAUCGAACGAAAGUAUUUUUAGAAACGGUAUUGCGGUUUAAAGUUUUUAAACAGGCUCAUAUUUUAGUAUUAAAUAGUAUAAGUGUCGUCGUAAUGUCCGAGCUAUCAGAGUUGCGCAGCCGGAAGCGUGAGCUUUGGUAGUUAGGGUGUUACAUUAUGGUAUCAGAGCAGUUCUUCCUGUAGAGCCUGAGGAAUGGACUGACUAUGCUUCAAUUGCAUGCUCUGAGCGUUUGUCAUGUAUUAGGUCUUGUCGAAUGAUGAGAAUUAGAGCUUUAUGCACAUGACGGUCUAUUGAUUAACGCCGUUAGUCUUGCAUUGCAUAAUUCUUGGUAUUAAGUUUGGCCGACUUAAUACUAGUGAAUUAUGUAAAUGAAAGCACUAAUGGGUUAUCAUAGAUAAUAUGUGAGUUUUGAGCAAAGCGAAUCGCGGGUUUUGGGAACGUUGGAAACUAUUUCUCGAGGCUAUUCAGUUGUGUGUUUUGGAUUUUGUUCGAGUCGACCUGUUCUUUCGUGUCCUAACUUGAAAUUCUUGUUUGCUACUCCUUUUGAAAAGUAGUUUGAUAUUUCUACUCUAUUCCCUUAUUCAUAUGCAUUCUUAUUUGAUCCUAAGUGCAUAUGCUUGUUUGAGAUCCUUGUUGUAUCUAUCUUUCUCUGUUUGAGUUCUUUUUGAUUCACGUAUCCUUUGAUAUAGCUUUGAACUUGUCUUAAUGCACUGUGCCUUUUUAAGUCCGGAUUCCGAGUCCAUUCUUAUAGAAAUUGUUGAUUCGGUUUUUCCUCUUAUUUGACAGUGAUUACAGCUAGUUUUGAGACUUUUAUGAAAAUUGCUAUUGAAUAGAUGUAUACUUAUCUAUAUAUGAAACUUGAAGAUUUCUUACACAGUUUGACAACUAUUUAUUUCUAAUACCUCGCCUGUACUUUUACUGGUUUACGGAACUGCAUUUACUUUAAAAUUAUAAUUUGACUUUCUAGUAAUUUUAUUAUAGUUCCAAUGCACAUUUUCAUUUGAUUAUGUAUUUGGAUAUUUUUCAAAACUUUGGAAAGAAAGAAUUUUUCAUUUUUAUCCCCGUUGAGUUUCGUUUGAUAAACUUUACUUAAUUCAUUUUGAAUUGAGUUUGAUUCAGCAUGCUAUAGGGUUUAUGCCAUUAUUGUUCUUUUGAAAAUGUUGGACUCAUAGCUUUCUUCUUUUGAACGGACUCGUUUCUUCUUAAGCUUUUCACCUCUAUGAAUGUCAUACGUGAUUCUGUUUUUAACUAAUCUUUUACAUCUUGUGAAAUUAUCAUUAAUCUUGGUUUGUCCUUCCUGUGAAUUUCAUCCUUAUGUGAGUCGGUUUGAUUUGUUUCAAAUUAGUGCAUCGUUUAUUCUCUCAUUAUCUCUACAAGAGUUUUUAGUCAAAGAUUUAUCCUUGAGAAAUUACUAAUGAUUGAGUUGUCUUUUUCUAUGACUUUUGUUUUCCGUUGGAUCAGUUGAAAGCUUGUUUGAUGUCUCAUGCAUAGUGGAUCUUGUUUGAGCUAUCUUGGUUUAAAAUCCUAUUUUUGCAUGGCUUGACUUCUUUUUAGUACAUCUUAAACUUCUUGAAUGUUCUUCUGAGAUGGCGAUUUCAAGAACACUUUUGGAGUCUUGUUUUGAGCUUUUAAAGAAGUUUUGAAUUCUCUUUGAAGAAGUUCUAAAUGGAAUUUAUUUUCUAUUGCUUGAUUGAGAUUGAAACUAUUGUUCGAUUUUUGACAAAAUUGUUUUGAAAUUGACAUGCGCUAUUUUAAAUGAGGUUCUGAAAAGUUCCCUUGUUUAAUGGGAACCUGUUUGUUUGUAACACACCGCUUGUUUCCUUACUAGAUUGUAAGCAAAAUUUUUACCUCGGGAUUUCUUUUCUAAAAAGAGCUUAACUUCCUCUUUUGUCCUCGCUAUAAAUGUUAUACACGCUUGUUUGAAUAUGGAUUUUGAGAAUUUUGAACGAGCAUUCGAUUUCUCUUCCGAGUUUUAUGAUUGCUUUUGAUUAAGAUUGUACACCUAACUAUCUUUCCAAAAUAGUUGAGGAAAUACUUUUGCUCCUAGCCAAAACCCGUGUACAGUUUGUUUUAAAAUUCUACAUGAUCUGUUUCAACAUGAAAUUGUAUUAAAGCAAAGCCACGUUUAUGUUUUUGUUACUCUUUUGAAGGAUGUUUGUUGCUUAACCUUCUUUUAAACUGCGAGGUGACUUUCUUGCAAGUUUUCGAUUCUUUUAAAAACAAUGUAUUCAAAAGUAUUUGUAAUCGUGCUCUUGAGUUCUGUGAGUUUUGUCUUGGGUUUGAAAUAUUCUCUUCUGUAAAUCUCAUACUUCAUCGACUCAGUUUGAGUUUGUUUCAAACUGAUGCGCUGGUUUUCUUGUUGAUCCUAUUGAACUUCUUUGAUCCAAGGGUCAUCUUUGAGGUUGUCAGUUGAUUUAUUUCUAGCAAACUUCAUUUGCUUGAUCAUCCUUGUUGUCUGGGAUUGGAUACAUUCCCUCGGAUCUAUGAGUACUAUCCUUGACAUUUGACUCUCCUUUUUAAAUCUUGUAUCCUUCUGAGUAAACUUGAGAAUUGUUUUGAUAUCACAUGCGACUUGUAGACGUAGUAACGCGAUGCGUUAGUUCUUUAAGACGUGAUAUGUGUAUUUGGAAAGUGAAGCGGUAAGUGCGUAACGUUAUGAUGAGUUGUGGGUGUUUUGUUCCUUGCGAACGGGUUUGUGGUUGCCAGGCUUGUGAUUGAAUUUGGGGUUUGUAAAGUGCUUGAUGGAGUUGGAAAGUUGAAACUUUGAGGUUGAUAUGAGAUUAGUGUACGGAGGUUAAGCACGUCGUUUUAACUCCAUCCUGUUUAAUAGCCUUUGAUGCCUUGCCCUUCUAUCACAUGAUUGACCCAUGUUAUCUUUUGCAUUGAGCCUACCUUGAAACGUUUGCUUUGCAAUCACACUCCUACCUUUACAUCCUUAUGCUUAUGACAAUAAAAGUAUUUGAAAAUCGUAUAUAUGAUUAUAUUUUGAGAUAUUUUUGCUUCUUCCUUAAAUGUGUUCAAAGGUGAACUGUUAUGGAAUUUCUUUCAUUUUGUAUCAAUUUUCGAGGGCGAAAAUUUUUAUAAGGUGGGUAGAAUGUAAGACCCA